This 497-nucleotide ribosomal RNA is filed under the name uncultured bacterium. RNAcentral's name for it is "partial 16S ribosomal RNA". It matches the Rfam family "Bacterial small subunit ribosomal RNA", at positions 28 to 507 of the family's 1533-position model. The record is from RNAcentral.
GAUGAACGCUGGCGGCGUGCCUAAUACAUGCAAGUCGAGCGGAAAGACGAUGAGCUUGUGCUACUGACGUUAGCGGCGGACGGACGAGUAACAAGUGGAUAACCUACCUAUAAGACUGGGAUAACUACGGGAAACCGGGGCAGAUACCGGCAAAAAUAUUGCACCACUUGGCUCAUUCAUAAAAUAAAGGUUUUUUCGGACUAAGAUAGGGAUCCGCGCCGCAUUAGAUAGUUGGGAAGGUAAGGGCUCACCAACGCAACGAUGCGUAGACGACCUGAGGGGAGGAUCGGCCACACUAGAUCUGAGACAAGGUCCAGACUCCUACGGGAGGCAGCAGUGGGGAAUCUACCACAAUGCGCGAAAGCCUGACGUAGCCACGCCGCGUGAGUGAUGGAGGGCUUCGGAUAGUAAAACUCUGCUACUUGUAAAGAACAAAUGUGUAGGGAACUAUGCACGUCUUGACGGUACCUAAUGAAUAAGCCACGGCUAACUACGUG